This 468-nucleotide ribosomal RNA is filed under the name uncultured bacterium. RNAcentral describes it as "partial 16S ribosomal RNA". It matches the Rfam family "Bacterial small subunit ribosomal RNA", at positions 28 to 507 of the family's 1533-position model. The record is from RNAcentral.
GACGAACGCUGGCGGCGUGCUUAACACAUGCAAGUCGAACGGAAAGGCCCUGCUUUUGUGGGGGGCUCGAGUGGCGAACGGGUGAGUAACACGGGAGUAACCUGCCCUUGACUGUGGGAUAACUUCAGGAAACUGGGGCUAAUACCGGAUAGGAGCUCCUGCUGCAUGGGGGGGGUUGGAAAGUUUCGGCGGUUGGGGAUGGACGCGCGGCUUAUCAGCUUGUUGGUGGGGUAGUGGCUUACCAAGGCUUUGACGGGUAGCCGGCCUGAGAGGGUGACCGGCCACAUUGGGACUGCGAUACGGCCCAGACUCCUACGGGAGGCAGCAGUGGGGAAUAUUGCACAAUGGGCGGAAGCCUGAUGCAGCAACGCCGCGUGCGUGAUGACGGCCUUCGGGUUGUAAACCGCUUUCGCCUGUGACGAAGCGUGGGUGACGGUAAUGGGUAAAGAAGCACCGGCUAACUACGUG